RNAcentral lists this non-coding RNA (128 nucleotides) under Schistosoma mansoni. Lineage: Eukaryota; Metazoa; Platyhelminthes; Trematoda; Strigeidida; Schistosomatidae. The record is from RNAcentral.
AGUGGCUUAGUGAAUAACGCGAUGACAUUUGAAGCUGACGGUAUUGUGAUCGAGUGUCGGAGCAAACAUCAACUCUGAGAUGUAGGUUCAUUCAGCUGACGAGUCUCAUCCAGGACGAAACGCGCAUC